AGGUUAACCAUCUAGGGGAGCCGUAGGGAAACCGAGUCUUAACUGGGCGUUCAGUCUCUGGAUAUAGACCCGAAACCAGGUGAUCUAGCCAUGGGCAGGUUGAAGGUUGAGUAACAUCAACUGGAGGACCGAACCGACUAAUGUUGAAAAAUUAGCGGAUGACUUGUGGCUAGGGGUGAAAGGCCAAUCAAACCUGGAGAUAGCUGGUUCUCCCCGAAAGCUAUUUAGGUAGCGCCUCGGACGAAUACUACUGGGGGUAGAGCACUGUUAAGGCUAGGGGGUCAUCCCGACUUACCAACCCUUUGCAAACUCCGAAUACCAGUAAGUACUAUCCGGGAGACACACGGCGGGUGCUAACGUCCGUCGUGGAGAGGGAAACAACC
This 383-nucleotide ribosomal RNA is filed under the name Vibrio parahaemolyticus. RNAcentral's name for it is "partial 23S ribosomal RNA". It matches the Rfam family "Bacterial large subunit ribosomal RNA", at positions 643 to 1027 of the family's 2925-position model. Lineage: Bacteria; Pseudomonadati; Pseudomonadota; Gammaproteobacteria; Vibrionales; Vibrionaceae. The record is from RNAcentral.